Molecule: ribosomal RNA, 403 nt
Filed under: uncultured Desulfovibrio sp.
Lineage: Bacteria; Pseudomonadati; Thermodesulfobacteriota; Desulfovibrionia; Desulfovibrionales; Desulfovibrionaceae
Description: bacterial SSU rRNA
Rfam family: Bacterial small subunit ribosomal RNA
Source: RNAcentral
CUGGGUUUGACAUCCCGCGAAUCCCUAUGAAAUUAGGGAGUGCCCUUCGGGGAACGCGGAGACAGGUGCUGCAUGGCUGUCGUCAGCUCGUGCCGUGAGGUGUUGGGUUAAGUCCCGCAACGAGCGCAACCCUUGUUGCCAGUUGCUACCAGGUAAUGCUGGGCACUCUGGCGAGACUGCCCGGGUCAACCGGGAGGAAGGUGGGGACGACGUCAAGUCAUCAUGGCCCUUACAUCCAGGGCUACACACGUACUACAAUGGCAGGUACAAAGGGUUGCCAAGCCGCGAGGCCGCGCUAAUCCCAGAAAGCCUGUCUCAGUCCGGAUUGCAGUCUGCAACUUGACUGCAUGAAGCUGGAAUCGCUAGUAAUCCCGGAUCAGCAUGCCGGGGUGAAUACGUUCCC